CAUGGUGUAGCUCAGUUGGUAGAGCCCCGUUCGGCAUGUGGGCAGUCGCGGGUUCGAUUCCUGCCUCCAUGGCCC
RNAcentral lists this transfer RNA (75 nucleotides) under Nocardia donostiensis. RNAcentral describes it as "tRNA-Ala". It matches the Rfam family "tRNA". Rfam says of the family: Transfer RNA (tRNA) molecules are approximately 80 nucleotides in length. Their secondary structure includes four short double-helical elements and three loops (D, anti-codon, and T loops). Lineage: Bacteria; Bacillati; Actinomycetota; Actinomycetes; Mycobacteriales; Nocardiaceae. The record is from RNAcentral.